GUGGGGGAUAUUGCACAAUGGGGGAAACCCUGAUGCAGCAACGCCGCGUGAGGGAAGAAGGUUUUCGGAUUGUAAACCUCUGUCCUAAGUGAAGAAAAAAAUGACGGUAACUUAGGAGGAAGCUCCGGCUAACUACGUGCCAGCAGCCGCGGUAAUACGUAGGGAGCGAGCGUUGUCCGGAAUUACUGGGUGUAAAGGGUGCGUAGGCGGCCAAGUAAGGCAGGCGUGAAAUACAUGGGCUCAACCCAUGGGAUGCGCUUGAAACUGCAUGGCUUGAGUGAAGUAGAGGCAGGCGGAAUUCCCGGUGUAGCGGUGAAAUGCGUAGAGAUCGGGAGGAACACCAGUGGCGAAGGCGGCCUGCUGGGCUUUAACUGACGCUGAGGCACGAAAGCAUGGGUAGCAAACAGGAUUAGAAACCCUAGUAGUCC
RNAcentral lists this ribosomal RNA (428 nucleotides) under uncultured bacterium. RNAcentral describes it as "partial 16S ribosomal RNA". It matches the Rfam family "Bacterial small subunit ribosomal RNA", at positions 354 to 796 of the family's 1533-position model. The record is from RNAcentral.